Molecule: transfer RNA, 75 nt
Filed under: Chryseobacterium indologenes
Lineage: Bacteria; Pseudomonadati; Bacteroidota; Flavobacteriia; Flavobacteriales; Weeksellaceae
Also listed under: 1 other name
Description: tRNA-Pro
Rfam family: tRNA
About the family: Transfer RNA (tRNA) molecules are approximately 80 nucleotides in length. Their secondary structure includes four short double-helical elements and three loops (D, anti-codon, and T loops).
Source: RNAcentral
CUGGAAAGAUAACGGUGGUUGUUUACCCGCCUUGGACGCGGGAGGCCGCAGGUUCGAAUCCUGCUUUCCAGACCA